Molecule: ribosomal RNA, 529 nt
Filed under: uncultured bacterium
Lineage: Bacteria
Description: partial 16S ribosomal RNA
Rfam family: Bacterial small subunit ribosomal RNA
Source: RNAcentral
UGGGGAAUAUUGCACAAUGGGCGCAAGCCUGAUGCAGCCAUGCCGCGUGUGUGAAGAAGGCCUUCGGGUUGUAAAGCACUUUCAGCGAGGAGGAAGGUGGUGGACUUAAUACGUUCAUCAAUUGACGUUACUCGCAGAAGAAGCACCGGCUAACUCCGUGCCAGCAGCCGCGGUAAUACGGAGGGUGCAAGCGUUAAUCAGAAUUACUGGGCGUAAAGCGCACGCAGGCGGUUUGUUAAGUCAGAUGUGAAAUCCCCGGGCUCAACCUGGGAACUGCAUUUGAAACUGGCAAGCUAGAGUCUCGUAGAGGGGGGUAGAAUUCCAGGUGUAGCGGUGAAAUGCGUAGAGAUCUGGAGGAAUACCGGUGGCGAAGGCGGCCCCCUGGACGAAGACUGACGCUCAGGUGCGAAAAGCGUGGGGAGCAAAACAGGAUUAGAUACCCUGGUAGUCCACGCUGUAAAACGAUGUCGAUUUUGGAGGUUGUGCCCCUUGAGGCGUGGCUUCCGGAGCUAACGCGUUAAAUCGACCG